RNAcentral lists this long non-coding RNA (345 nucleotides) under Pan troglodytes (chimpanzee). RNAcentral's name for it is "long non-coding RNA NONPTRT000008". Lineage: Eukaryota; Metazoa; Chordata; Mammalia; Primates; Hominidae. The record is from RNAcentral.
GGGGAGGGGACUGGACAGGGAUCGGGUAGGGUGGGGCCGGGCUGAGCCUGCUCUGCGGGUCCCGGACCCCAGCGCCACCGUGCGAGAGGCCGGGGUCCAGGCCAGGCCGGGGAACGGUGUGUGUACCCGGUGGGGUGGGAGGGCUGGGCAGCCCUGGGACGAGCUCUGUGGCCUGGGACCAGGUCUGCCUCCGCAGAGCAAGUCCUGGACGGACGGCUGCUUGAGCCCACAGGUCGUGCGUCCUUUGACAGCAGCCUCCGGCCGGGAGGCACCAGCUCUUCGAACAAUGUUUAAAAGUCUCUUCUGUUCAUCCUACCGGGGUGCCGUCUCCUGCCGGUCUUUUCA